CCUCGGGAGGCAGCAGUGGGGAAUUUUCCGCAAUGGGCGAAAGCCUGACGGAGCAACGCCGCGUGAGGGAUGAAGGCCUCUGGGCUGUAAACCUCUUUUAUCAAGGAAGAAGAUCUGACGGUACUUGAUGAAUAAGCCACGGCUAAUUCCGUGCCAGCAGCCGCGGUAAUACGGGAGUGGCAAGCGUUAUCCGGAAUUAUUGGGCGUAAAGCGUCCGCAGGCGGCCCUUCAAGUCUGCUGUUAAAAAGUGGAGCUUAACUCCAUCAUGGCAGUGGAAACUGUUGGGCUUGAGUGUGGUAGGGGCAGAGGGAAUUCCCGGUGUAGCGGUGAAAUGCGUAGAUAUCGGGAAGAACACCAGUGGCGAAGGCGCUCUGCUGGGCCAUCACUGACGCUCAUGGACGAAAGCCAGGGGAGCGAAAGGGAUUAGAUACCCCUGUAGUCCUGGCCGUAAACGAUGAACACUAGGUGUCGGGGGAAUCGACCCCCUCGGUGUCGUAGCCAACGCGUUAAGUGUUCCGCCUGGGGAGUACGCACGCAAGUGUGAAACUCAAAGGAAUUGACGG
This 563-nucleotide ribosomal RNA is filed under the name uncultured bacterium. RNAcentral describes it as "bacterial SSU rRNA". It matches the Rfam family "Bacterial small subunit ribosomal RNA", at positions 339 to 916 of the family's 1533-position model. The record is from RNAcentral.